GCAGCAGUGAGGAAUUUUUCACAAUGGACGAAAGUCUGAUGGAGCAAUACCACGUGAACGAUGAAGAUCUUCUGAUUGUAAAGUUCUUUUAUUUAGGAAAAAAAGCUUGAUAGGAAAUGAUUAAGCCUUGAUCGUACUAAAUGAAUAAGUGACAGCUAACUAUGUGCCAGCAGCUGCGGUAAAACAUAGGUCACGAGCAUUAUCCGGAUUUAUUGGGCGUAAAGGAAGCGUAGGCGGACAAGUUGAUCUAUUGUGAAAAGCACUUGCUCAACAAGUUGUUUGUGAUAGAUAUCGCUUGUCUAGAAUUAGUUAGGAGAUACUGGAAUUCAAUGUGUAGCGGUGGAAUGCGUAGAUAUAUUGAGGAACACCAGAGGCUAAGGCGAGUAUCUAGAACAUAAUUGACGCUGAGGCUUGAAAGCGUGGGGAGCAAAUGGGAUUAGAUACCCCAGUAGUCCACGCCGUAAACGAUGGGUAUUAGGUAUUUGAUAUAAGAUUGAGUGCUGUAGCUAACGCGUUAAAUACCCCGCCUGGGUAGUAUAUAUGCAAAUAUGAAACUCAAAGAAAUUGACGGGGACCUGAACAAGUGGUGGAGCAUGUUGCUUAAUUCGAUAAUACACGAAAAACCUUACCGAGGCUUGUAAUCUUUUGCAAAGCUAUAGAAAUA
Molecule: ribosomal RNA, 664 nt
Filed under: Candidatus Mycoplasma haematoparvum
Lineage: Bacteria; Bacillati; Mycoplasmatota; Mollicutes; Mycoplasmatales; Mycoplasmataceae
Description: bacterial SSU rRNA
Rfam family: Bacterial small subunit ribosomal RNA
Source: RNAcentral